Molecule: ribosomal RNA, 3060 nt
Filed under: Melanogrammus aeglefinus (haddock)
Lineage: Eukaryota; Metazoa; Chordata; Actinopteri; Gadiformes; Gadidae
Description: eukaryotic LSU rRNA
Rfam family: Eukaryotic large subunit ribosomal RNA (bases 561-3060)
Source: RNAcentral
ACUUACUCCAAAGUGCCCCUAAAAAGCGACCUAAAAAAGUGCCCCAAACUUACUCCCAAAGUGCCCCUAAAAAGUGCCCCUAAAAAGUGCCCCAAACUACUCCAAAGUGCCCCUAAAAGAGCGCCCACUAACUAAAGUCAAGCGCCCAAAACUUACUCCAAAGUGCCCCUAAAAAGUGCCCCUAAAAAGUGCCCCAAACUUACUCCAAAGUGCCCCUAAAAAAGCGCCUCCUAAAAACGUGCCCCCAAACUUACUCCAAAGUGCCCCUAAAGAAGCGCCCCAAACUAUACUCCAAAGUGCCGCCUAAAAAGUGCCCCACAAACUUACUCCACAAGUGCCCCUAAGUGAAAGGGGCGUGGCCACAGGUACAACUCAGGCCGAUCCCUGGCAAAGCGCAAAAACUUUGGCCAAAGAAACUUUCUCGUCCUUUGUGUUAUGAGAGGGGCCUCUGCUGAAAAAUUACGCCGGCACACUCCAAAGACCCCAAAGUGUCCUUAGGUUGCCCCUUUUUGGGACACCUUAACUCUCCUAUGUGGGCAAAGUGCCCUUCAUAUUUGGAGCCCACCAAAGUCAAUUUGGGGUAACUUUUCGCACAAAGUAUGCCAAAAUGACCUUUUAGUAUACCGAAAAUGACCUCUCCUCCUCAGGAAUAGCUGCCGCUCAUUACAGUCCCAGUCUUAUCUGGUAAAGCGAAUGACUAGAGGCCUUGGGGCCGAAAGAUCUCCAACCUAUGUCUCAAAACUUUAAAUGGGUAAGAGGCCCCUGCUCGCUGGCUUGGAGCAGGGCGUGGAAUGCGAGUGCCAGUGGGGCCCACUUUUGGUAAGCAGAACUGGCGCUGCGGGAUGAACCGAACGCCGGGUUAAAGGCGCCCCGAUGCCGACGCUCAUCAGACCCAGAAAAGGUGUUGGUUGAUAUAGACAAGCAGGACGGUUGGCCAUGGAAGUCGGAAUCCGCUAAGGAGUGUGUAACAACUCACCCUGCCGAAUCACUAGCCCUGAAAAUGGAUGGCGCUGGAGCGUCGGGACCCAUACCCGGGCCGCUGCGCUGGGAUCGGAGCCUCCGUGGGCUACGCCGCGAUGAGUAGGAGGGCCGCGCGGUGGCGACGGGAAGCCUAGGGCGCGGGCCCGGGUGGAGCCGCCGCGGGUGCAGAUCUUUGUGGUAGUAGCAAAUAUCAAACACAGAGAAUUUGAAGGCCGAGAUGGAGGAAGGGUUCCAUGUGAACCAGCAGUUGAACAUGGGUCAGUCGGUCCUUAAGAGAUUGGCGAACGCCGUUUCAAAAGUGCGGGGCGAUGGCCUCCGUCGCCCCGGUCGAUCGAAGGGGAGUCGGGUUCAGAUCCCCGAAUCCUGGAGAGGCGGAGAUAGGCGCCGCGAGGCGUCCAGUGCGGUAACGCAAACGACCCCGGAGAAGCUGGCGGGAGCCCGGGAAGAGUUCUCUUUUCUUUGUGAAGGGCAGGGCACCCCUGGAAUGGUUCGCCCCGAGAUAGGGGCCCGUGCCCUGGAAAGCGUCGCGGUUCCGGUCGGCGUCCGGGUGAGCUCUCGCUGGCCUCGUGAAAAUCCGGUGGAGAAGGUUGUAAAUCUCGCGCCAGGGCCGUACCCAUAUCCGCAGCAGGGAUCUCCAAGGUGAACAGCCUCUGGCAUGAUGAAACAAGGGGGGUAAGGGAAAGUCGGCAAAUCAGAUCCGUAGAACUUCGGGAUAAGGAUUGGCUCUAGGGCUGGGCUCGGCUCGGCGCGGGGUGGCGAAGCGGGGCUGGGCCUGGCCGCGGGCUGGGGGAAGGCAGCCACCGCCGCCUCCUGUCGUCCUCCCCCUCUGAAGCGUCUCGCGGCGGGGUGGGCUCAGAGAGGGUCUUGCGUGGCGUCGGCUCCUUCGGGGUCGUCGCGGCGCGGGGCUCGAGGGUCUGCUCUCGUCCGGGCGUGGAGGUGGGAGUGAUGGGGGCUUCAGGCUCGGAGCGGCGGUCGGCUGGGCGACUCUGGACGUGCGUCGGGCCCUUCUCGCGGAUCUCCUCAGCUACGGUGACUGUACGGCUCCACCCCGGGGUCGCGGCGGCUCGCCUCGGCUGGCACCUAGCAGCUGACUUAGAACUGGUGCGGACCAGGGAGAUCCGAACCUGUUUAAUUAAAACAGAGCAUCGCGAGGGCCCAGCGGGUGUUGACGCAAUGUGAUUUCUGCUCCCAGUGCUCUGAAAUGUCAAAGUGAAGAAAUUCAAUGAAGCGGCGGGUAAACGGCGGGAGUAACUAUGAUCUCUUCUAAGGUAGCCAAAUGCUUCGUCCAUCUAAUUAGUGAUCGCGCUAUGUAUGGAUGUACGAACGAUUCCCUCUGUCCCUACCUUACUAUCCAGCGAAACCACAGCCAAGGGAACGGGCUUGGCAGAAUCAGCGGGGAAAGGAAGACCCUGUUGAGCUUGACUCUAGUCUGGGUACUGUGAAGAGACAUGAGAGGUGUAGAAUAAGUGGAGGUUCCCGGCCGACGUUGUGAAAUACCACUACUCUUAUCGUUUUUUCCACUUAACCCGGUGGAGCGGCGGGGAGGCGAGCCCGACGGUGCGGGUGUCUUCGUUUCUGGUGUCAAAAACCCCCCGGCCUGGCCGUGGGCAACUCCGUCCCGGGACAGUGACAGGUGGGGAGUUGACUGGGGCGGUACGUCAACCUGUCAAAAUGGUAACCGCAGUGUGCCUUAGAGGCGAGCUCAGGGGAGGUAAGAAACCUCCCGUGGAGCAGAAGGGCAAAAGCAGCUCGUUUGAUCUUGAUUAUUCAGUAUGAGUACAGACCGUGAAAGCGCGGCCUCACGAUCCUUGCUGGAACGUUUUGGGUUUUAGCAGGAGGUGUCAAGAAAAGUUACCACAGGGAUAACUGGCUUGUGGCGGCCGAAGCGUUCAAUAGGACGUCCGCUUUUUUGAUCUUCGAUGUCGCUUCUUCCCUAUCAUUGUGAAAGCAGAAUUCACCAAGCGUUGGACUUGUUCACUCCCACUAAUAGGAACGUGAAGCUGGGUUUAGACGUCGUAGAGACAGGUUAGUUUUAAACCUACUGAUGAUGUGUUGUGAAUAGUAUCCUUGCUUUCAGUA